CCAAAGCAUGGAUUGCUGUCUUACCUUGUCCAUAGACCACUUACAGAGUAAGGAAAUAUGUCAUUUUGUAAUUUGGGUGAAUCCUUGUAAGAAGUCUAGUCUGUAUAUGAAGUACAGAACUAUUCAAAAGCAGCCAAUUGAUCAAUGUAGUAGUAAUGUCAAUAUCAGUUUUCUUGUAAAUCCCACAUCCAAAGCCUCUGUCUCUUCCAGCUACCAGAGUUUCAGGGAGGUGCCCAGACUGCUAGACCUGGAUCUGACAGAGGGAGACCAUGACUUUCCUGAUGCAGGAGAAGAAGCCACACAUGCAGGCGGUGAGGGGACAAGAGAGGGACCACACCCAGGGACCAGGAGGGAGGAGGGCCACACAUGUCUAGCUCAGAGAUAGCCAAUGCUAGGUCAGAAGGACGCUACAUUCAUUCCACUGGCAAGACCAAGGACCAGCAAAUCAGUUCUUUGUUCCCCUAAAGACCUCAGCCAAUCCCCUGCAUUUCAUGGCUCGCCUGCCAGUGACAGCAAGAGGUCAGAGGUCAGGAUGUCUCGAGGCAGCAGGCUCACCAGUCUGGGGGAGAGUACUGCGUCAGAGAGGAGGGGCUCCAAACUGCAGCCUGGGACCAGGAGAGUGUAAUCUCAGGAUAGGAUAUUAUUAUUAUUAUCUCAUCCGAGAUGUGGGCUCUGAGAGCGGUCACCUGACUCCUGCAGCACCCAGUCCCUUCCACCAGAUGGCCACAGCGAG
This is a long non-coding RNA of Oncorhynchus gorbuscha (pink salmon), 733 nucleotides long. RefSeq lists it as uncharacterized. The transcript is spliced from 3 exons. NCBI's taxonomy places the organism in Eukaryota, Metazoa, Chordata, Actinopteri, Salmoniformes, Salmonidae. The record is from RefSeq and is a predicted model, not a curated record.